Molecule: ribosomal RNA, 407 nt
Filed under: uncultured bacterium
Lineage: Bacteria
Description: partial 16S ribosomal RNA
Rfam family: Bacterial small subunit ribosomal RNA
Source: RNAcentral
GACGAACGCUGGCGGCGUGCCUAAUACAUGCAAGUAGGACGCAGUUGCGAACGGGUGAGUAACGCGUCGGUAACUGCCUAUUAGAGGGGGAUGACUAUUGGAAACGAUAGCUAAUACCGCAUACUAGUAGAUGGACCUGCGUUGUAUUAUCUAGUAGGUAGGGUAAUGGCCUACCUAGGCAACGAUACAUAGCCGACCUGAGGGGGUGAUCGGCCAAACUGGGACUGAGAAACGGCCCAGACCUCCACGGGAGGCAGAAGUAGGGAAUCGUUGGCAAUGGGGGGAACGCUGACCGAGCAAAGCCGCGUGAGUGAAGAAGGUUUUCGGAUCGUAAAGCUCUGUUGUUAAGGAAGCGGUACUUAACCAGAAAGGGACGGCUAACUACGUGCCAGCAGCCGCGGUAAUAC